RNAcentral lists this ribosomal RNA (510 nucleotides) under uncultured bacterium. Its description in RNAcentral is "partial 16S ribosomal RNA". It matches the Rfam family "Bacterial small subunit ribosomal RNA", at positions 28 to 507 of the family's 1533-position model. The record is from RNAcentral.
GACGAACGCUGGCGGCGUGCUUAACACAUGCAAGUCGAACGAAGAGUGAUGGAAGCUUGCUUCUAUCAAUCUUAGUGGCGAACGGGUGAGUAACGCGUAAUCAACCUGCCCUUCAGAGGGGGACAACAGUUGGAAACGACUGCUAAUACCGCAUACGAUCUAAUCUCGGCAUCGAGGAUAGAUGAAAGGUGGCCUCUACAUGUAAGCUAUCACUGAAGGAGGGGAUUGCGUCUGAUUAGCUAGUUGGAGGGGUAACGGCCCACCAAGGCGAUGAUCAGUAGCCGGUCUGAGAGGAUGAACGGCCACAUUGGGACUGAGACACGGCCCAGACUCCUACGGGAGGCAGCAGUGGGGAAUCUUCCGCAAUGGACGAAAGUCUGACGGAGCAACGCCGCGUGAGCGAUGACGGCCUUCGGGUUGUAAAGCUCUGUUAAUCGGGACGAAAGGCCUUCUUGCGAAUAGUGAGAAGGAUUGACGGUACCGGAAUAGAAAGCCACGGCUAACUACGUG